CCGGACUGUUUGAAAAUCGUCUUUUGAUUAACUUCGAAAAGAUUAAUUUGUUGAAAUAGUGAUUUGAUUUAAAAAAAAAGGACUUGUGUAAAAUAGAUUUAGGCAACUUAGUAGGAAUUUUAACUAAGUCUAAACAAAACUAAUAAACAAAUAAACACAUAAAAGGGGAAGAGAGGAUAAAGUAAAGGAUUUAGGCUAUUGAACCCAAAUCAACGAGAUCUGUCCUAGUCUAGUCAGGAUUCCGACCCAUUUCACCUGUCCUAAACUAUUUUUCGAGCCUUUGGCUCGAGUCUUACUCCACCUAUAUAAAAUACAACUUUGGCUUCGAGGCCGAAAUGAAUGAAUAAAUAAAUGACUAAAUGAAUAAAUAAAAAGAAGACAAUAAUAAAAAUUGAGACUUUUCAAGUCUCUUAAUGACCUCAUCAAUGGGUUUUGACCCAUUUCCCUUCUUCGUCUAUCUUUAAGCACCCGCACGCCAUGUAGUGGACCUCGGGUUUAAUCUUCGAACUUGACUCGAAGGGGUAGACCUCAUUAGCCCCUUACGAAAUGCAAGAGGAGAGGAAUCCAUUUGGAGUCGAGACAUUUUUUUGCAUGCGAAGAAAAGAUGAAUAAAUUAAUAUACGUUCAAGGCAUAAAAGUGACAUAUUUCAAAGCAAAAGAAAAUAUCAAGAACCAAUUUUGAAUGACAAUGGUAAGCACACUUGCACAAGAAUGAGAGUCAACAAAUAAAAUGCAAAACAAAGACACCCACUUACAUGCCUCAGGAUUUAUGUUCAUACAAGAAUGAAUAAAGGUAAAAGGAAGAAGGUCAUAUUCAAUGAAUUAAUACAAGAAACAAACAACGUAAGCUUGCGAAAGUAAUGGGAUGAGGCAACAAGGAAAAUACUCAUGACUUCUAAAAUUGAACAAACAUAGAUACUAAUCCAUAAAAAAAAAUAAUAAAGGUUAACUUUUCAAGCAAGAGAAUCUUUAAAUUUCAAUUAAGGCAACAUUAACGAAAAUUCAUACAUCUAAAUUACAACCAAAAUUUUAUGAGAAAAAACGUGUAAUGACCUAUGAUUUAUAUUUCUAAGACAUCGUUGAUUCUCCUUUGAUAUUAUGAAUCAGUGAGAGACACGAAUCAAAUCUUUACACUUACAAAGAGCACAUAUAACAAUCCAAAUGGCGCAAGAAAAUUAGAAUAAAGUUUAGCAUUUCUAAAAGUGAAAUAUUGUCACAAUCAUACUAUGCAUGACUUGAAAAUAUCUAAAUAAUUCUAUUUAGCCACAAAAAUUCGAACUUUCGCAUCAUUUUGACAAAUUUGAAAACAUGCGAAAAAGUAGAAUAAAUAUCGUGGAUAAAAAAUAAAGCUAGCACUUCAUAUCUUAUAUGAAGAUUUUGGAGAUCUCUUAAAAUAAUUAAUAAGUAAAUGAAAAAUUCUUGACUUAAUCAAUUACUAUUUUUAUUAAGGCGAAACAAACAAUAGUAAUUAUUUUUUCAAUAUAAAAGAAACAACUUUACAGCUAAAACAAAGAUAUCCGUCAACAAUAAAUUUAAACAAGACAUGAGUUUGUCUUUUGAGCAAAGAUCAAAACUUUAUACAUGACAAUCAAAGAAUAAAGUCAAAAGGCAAAACAAUCAAUAUUAACCAUUCUUUUCAACAUAAAAAAAAUAACUUUACACGCUAAAAACAAACAUGUCUACCAACAAUGAGUUUAAACAAGACAUGGGUAUGACUUUUCAAGUAAAGAUCUAAACUUUAUCCAAAAUAAUCAAAGAAUAAGGUCAAAAGGCAAAACAAUCAAUAUUAACUAUUCUUUUCAACAUAAAGAAAAUAACUUUACAUGCUAAAAACAAACAUAUCUACCAACACUGAGGUUAAAUAAGACAUGGGUAUGACUUUUCAAGUAAAGAUCUAAACUUUAUCCAAAAUAAUCAAAGAAUAAGGUCAAAAGGCAAAACAAUCAAUAUUAACUAUUCUUUUCAACAUAAAGAAAAUAACUUUACA
RNAcentral lists this long non-coding RNA (1987 nucleotides) under Capsicum annuum. RNAcentral describes it as "long non-coding RNA (CANN_LNC011127)". Lineage: Eukaryota; Viridiplantae; Streptophyta; Magnoliopsida; Solanales; Solanaceae. The record is from RNAcentral.